GACGAACGCUGGCGGCGUGCUUAACACAUGCAAGUCGAACGAAGAGCGAUGGAAGCUUGCUUCUAUCAAUCUUAGUGGCAAACGGGUGAGUAACGCGUAAUCAACCUGCCCUUCAGAGGGGGACAACAGUUGGAAACGACUGCUAAUACCGCAUACGAGCUAACCUCGGCAUCGAGGAUAGAUGAAAGGUGGCCUCUACAUGUAAGCUAUCACUGAAGGAGGGGAUUGCGUCUGAUUAGAUAGUUGGAGGGGUAACGGCCCACCAAGGCGAUGAUCAGUAGCCGGUCUGAGAGGAUGAACGGCCACAUUGGGACUGAGACACGGCCCAGACUCCUACGGGAGGCAGCAGUGGGGAAUCUUCCGCAAUGGACGAAAGUCUGACGGAGCAACGCCGCGUGAGUGAGGACGGCCUUCGGGUUGUAAAGCUCUGUUAAUCGGGACGAAAGGCCUUCUUGCGAAUAGUGAGAAGGAUUGACGGUACCGGAAUAGAAAGCCACGGCUAACUACGUG
Molecule: ribosomal RNA, 510 nt
Filed under: uncultured bacterium
Lineage: Bacteria
Description: partial 16S ribosomal RNA
Rfam family: Bacterial small subunit ribosomal RNA
Source: RNAcentral